Molecule: ribosomal RNA, 605 nt
Filed under: uncultured Humicola
Lineage: Eukaryota; Fungi; Ascomycota
Description: eukaryotic LSU rRNA
Rfam family: 5.8S ribosomal RNA (bases 237-390)
Source: RNAcentral
UCUUGGUCAUUUAGAGGAAGUAAAAGUCGUAACAAGGUCUCCGUUGGUGAACCAGCGGAGGGAUCAUUACAGAGUUGCAAACUCCCUAAACCAUUGUGAACGUUACCUAAACCGUUGCUUCGGCGGGCGGCCCGGGUCCUUCCCGGCGCCCAUCGGCCCUCGCGGGCGCCCGCCGGAGGUAAACCAAACUAUUGCAUUGUAUGGCCUCUCUGAGUCUUCUGUACUGAAUAAGUCAAAACUUUCAACAACGGAUCUCUUGGUUCUGGCAUCGAUGAAGAACGCAGCGAAAUGCGAUAAGUAAUGUGAAUUGCAGAAUUCAGUGAAUCAUCGAAUCUUUGAACGCACAUUGCGCCCGCCAGUAUUCUGGCGGGCAUGCCUGUUCGAGCGUCAUUUCAACCAUCAAGCCCCGGGCUUGUGUUGGGGACCUGCGGCUGCCGCAGGCCCUGAAAUGCAGUGGCGGGCUCGCUGUCACUCCGAGCGUAGUAGUUACAUCUCGCUCUGGGCGUGCUGCGGGUUCCGGCCGUUAAAAGCCUUAUUUACCCAAGGUUGACCUCGGAUCAGGUAGGAAGACCCGCUGAACUUAAGCAUAUCAAUAAGCGGAGGAA